AGAAUCAACGCUGGCGGCGUGCCUAACACAUGCAAGUCGAACGAGAAAGUGGAGCAAUCCAUGAGUAAAGUGGCGACCGGGUGAGUAACACGUGACUAACCUACCUUCGAGUGGGGGAUAACCUCGGGAAACCGGGGCUAAUACCGCAUAAUGCCUUCGGGUUAAAGGAGCAAUUCGCUUGAAGAGGGGGUCGCGGCUGAUUAGCUAGUUGGCGGGGUAACGGCCCACCAAGGCGAUGAUCGGUAGCCGGCCUGAGAGGGCGCACGGCCACACUGGAACUGAAACACGGUCCAGACUCCUACGGGAGGCAGCAGUGGGGAAUUUUGCGCAAUGGGGGAACCCUGACGCAGCAACGCCGCGUGGAGGAUGAAGUCCCUUGGGACGUAAACUCCUUUCGACCGGGACGAUAAUGACGGUACCGGUGGAAGAAGCCCCGGCUAACUUCGUGCCAGCAGCCGC
RNAcentral lists this ribosomal RNA (459 nucleotides) under uncultured bacterium. RNAcentral's name for it is "SSU rRNA". It matches the Rfam family "Bacterial small subunit ribosomal RNA", at positions 26 to 518 of the family's 1533-position model. The record is from RNAcentral.